Molecule: non-coding RNA, 366 nt
Organism: Tinamus guttatus (white-throated tinamou)
Lineage: Eukaryota; Metazoa; Chordata; Aves; Tinamiformes; Tinamidae
Source: RefSeq, a predicted model, not a curated record
ACUUUGAGUUUAGUUUAUUCUGGAAAUUGGUCCACCUUUUUUCAACUCCAUGUUGUAUUAACAUCAGGAUUCCAAGAGUAUUAUGUCUGCAUGUAUUGAUUUUAAAAUAAUUAUUUUGUUUUAUGCAUUAAUGCUUACCUAUGCAAUAGCUUAAUUCCUGUCUUAUGUUUGGAAAUCUUUUAUUAUUAUUAUUUUUGCAGGUUUUGAACUGUAUUCCAUGGUGCCUUCUAUUUGCCCUUUGGAAACCCUACAUGAUUCCCUGUCUCUAAAGCAGGUGGAUGAAUUUCUUGCCUCUGUUGCUGCUCCAUCAAGUGAAAAUCUACAGGAGACAUCUUCUCCAACUUGCAUGAGUCCACUGUCAGGAAG